RNAcentral lists this ribosomal RNA (460 nucleotides) under uncultured bacterium. RNAcentral's name for it is "partial 16S ribosomal RNA". It matches the Rfam family "Bacterial small subunit ribosomal RNA", at positions 338 to 795 of the family's 1533-position model. The record is from RNAcentral.
CCUACGGGCGACAGCAGUGAGGAAUAUUGGUCAAUGGACGAGAGUCUGAACCAGCCAAGUAGCGUGAAGGAUGACUGCCCUAUGGGUUGUAAACUUCUUUUAUAAAGGAAUAAAACGAGGCACGUGUGCCUUUUUGCAUGUACUUUAUGAAUAAGGAUCGGCUAACUCCGUGCCAGCAGCCGCGGUAAUACGGAGGAUCCGAGCGUUAUCCGGAUUUAUUGGGUUUAAAGGGAGCGUAGAUGGGUUGUUAAGUCAGUUGUGAAAGUUUGCGGCUCAACCGUAAAAUUGCAAUUGAUACUGGCAGUCUUGAGUACAGGUGAGGUAGGCGGAAUUCGUGGUGUAGCGGUGAAAUGCUUAGAUAUCACGAAGAACCCCGAUUGCGAAGGCAGCUUACUAAACUGUGACUGACAUUGAUGCUCGAAAGUGUGGGUAUCGAACAGGAUUAGAUACCCUUGUAGUC